CGGGACGGGUGAGUAAUGCGUAGGAAUCUACCUAGUUGAGGUGGGAUAGCCUAGGGAAAGUUAAGGGUAAUACCGCAUAAGUCUUACGGGAGAAAGCAGGGGACUGUUAAAGGCCUUGCGCGAUUAGAUGAGCCUACGUCGGAUUAGCUUGUUGGUGGGGUAAAGGCCUACCAAGGCGAUGAUCCGUAGCUGGUCUGAGAGGACGACCAGCCACACUGGGACUGAGACACGGCCCAG
This 237-nucleotide ribosomal RNA is filed under the name uncultured bacterium. RNAcentral describes it as "partial 16S ribosomal RNA". It matches the Rfam family "Bacterial small subunit ribosomal RNA", at positions 100 to 334 of the family's 1533-position model. The record is from RNAcentral.